RNAcentral lists this ribosomal RNA (253 nucleotides) under uncultured bacterium. Its description in RNAcentral is "partial 16S ribosomal RNA". It matches the Rfam family "Bacterial small subunit ribosomal RNA", at positions 524 to 776 of the family's 1533-position model. The record is from RNAcentral.
UACAGAGGGUGCAAGCGUUAAUCGGAAUGACUGGGCGUAAAGGGUGCGUAGGUGGCUGUUUAAGUGAGAUGUGAAAUCCCCGGGCUUAACCUGGGAACUGCAUUUGAUACUGGACAGCUAGAGUAUGGGAGAGGUAAGUGGAAUUUCCGGUGUAGCGGUGAAAUGCGUAGAUAUCGGAAGGAACACCAGUGGCGAAGGCGGCUUACUGGCCUAAUACUGACACUGAGGCACGAAAGCGUGGGGAGCAAACAGG